Molecule: ribosomal RNA, 1248 nt
Filed under: uncultured bacterium
Lineage: Bacteria
Description: bacterial SSU rRNA
Rfam family: Bacterial small subunit ribosomal RNA
Source: RNAcentral
AACCCGUUUUUGACUUUGGGAUAACUUCAGGAAACUGGGGCUAAUACCGGAUAGGAGCUCCUGCUGCAUGGUGGGGGUUGGAAAGUUUCGGCGGUUGGGGAUGGACUCGCGGCUUAUCAGCUUGUUGGUGGGGUAGUGGCUUACCAAGGCUUUGACGGGUAGCCGGCCUGAGAGGGUGACCGGCCACAUUGGGACUGAGAUACGGCCCAGACUCCUACGGGAGGCAGCAGUGGGGAAUAUUGCACAAUGGGCGGAAGCCUGAUGCAGCAACGCCGCGUGCGGGAUGACGGCCUUCGGGUUGUAAACCGCUUUCGCCUGUGACGAAGCGUGAGUGACGGUAAUGGGUAAAGAAGCACCGGCUAACUACGUGCCAGCAGCCGCGGUGAUACGUAGGGUGCGAGCGUUGUCCGGAUUUAUUGGGCGUAAAGGGCUCGUAGGUGGUUGAUCGCGUCGGAAGUGUAAUCUUGGGGCUUAACCCUGAGCGUGCUUUCGAUACGGGUUGACUUGAGGAAGGUAGGGGAGAAUGGAAUUCCUGGUGGAGCGGUGGAAUGCGCAGAUAUCAGGAGGAACACCAGUGGCGAAGGCGGUUCUCUGGGCCUUUCCUGACGCUGAGGAGCGAAAGCGUGGGGAGCGAACAGGCUUAGAUACCCUGGUAGUCCACGCUGUAAACGGUGGGUACUAGGUGUGGGGUCCAUUCCACGGGUUCCGUGCCGUAGCUAACGCUUUAAGUACCCCGCCUGGGGAGUACGGCCGCAUGGCUAAAACUCAAAGGAAUUGACGGGGCCCCGCACAAGCGGCGGAGCAUGCGGAUUAAUUCGAUGCAACGCGUAGAACCUUACCUGGGUUUGACAUGGAUCGGGAGUGCUCAGAGAUGGGUGUGCCUCUUUUGGGGUCGGUUCACAGGUGGUGCAUGCCUGUCGUCAGCUCGUGUCGUGAGAUGUUGGGUUAAGUCCCGCAACGAGCGCAACCCUUGUUCACUGUUGCCAGCACGUUAUGGUGGGGACUCAGUGGAGACCGCCGGGGUCAACUCGGAGGAAGGUGGGGAUGACGUCAAGUCCUCAUGCCCCUUAUGUCCAGGGCUUCACGCAUGCUACAAUGGCUGGUACAGAGAGUGGCGAGCCUGUGAGGGUGAGCGAAUCUCGGAAAGCCGGUCUCAGUUCGGAUUGGGGUCUGCAACUCGACCUCAUGAAGUCGGAGUCGCUAGUAAUCGCAGAUCAGCAACGCUGCGGUGAAUACGUUCCCGGGGCU